CCUGGUUGAUCCUGCCAGUAGUCAUAUGCUUGUCUCAAAGAUUAAGCCAUGCAUGUCUCAGUACAAGCCAAAUUAAGGUGAAACCGCGAAAGGCUCAUUAAAUCAGUUAUGGUUCCUUAGAUCGUACCCACAUUUACUUGGAUAACUGUGGUAAUUCUAGAGCUAAUACAUGCAAACAGAGCUCCGACCGGAGACGGAAGGAGUGCUUUUAUUAGAUCAAAACCAAUCGGCGGGAAUAGCAUUUCGGUGUUAUUUUUCGUCGCACUGUUUGGUGACUCUGAAUAACUUUUGGCUGAUCGCACGGUCUUGCACCGGCGACGCAUGUUUCAAAUGUCUGCCUUAUCAAUUGUCGAUGGUAGGUUCUGCGCUUACCAUAGUUGUAACGGGUAACUGGUAAUCAGGAUUAGAUUCCGGACAUGGAGCCUGAGAAACGGCCACCACAUCUAAGGAAAGCAGCAGGCGCGCAAAUUUCCCACUCCCGGCACGGGGACGUAGUGACAAAAAAUAACGAUAUGUGACUCAUCCGAGACCUCAAAAUCAGAAUGAGUACACUUUAAAUCCUUUUACAAGGAUCAAUUGGCAGGUAAGUCUGGUACCAGCAGCCGCGGUAAUUCCAGCUCCAAUAGCGUAUAUUAAAGUAGUUGCAGUUAAAAAGCUUGUAGUUGAAUCUGUGUUUCGCGCUGUCGGUUCACCGUCCGCGUUGUUAACUGGCACGUCUCAAGAAACGUCCUGGCGCUGGAUGUGAGAGUUUUUGUAUACUUUUCCAAAUGUAUUAUGCGUGUGCAAAUUAUUGUUUUAUAUUGUUCUUGGUAUUUGUAAAUAAAUCUAGUGUGGUUUAUUUAUUAUGCUAUUUUAUAUUUUGACAUUUUUUGUUACUGUAUAGUGCUAUAAGGUUUGAGAGUUACAAAUUAUUUCAUAUCUGACUUAUAAAAUCUUGUCGCGGUGCUCCUAACUAAAUGUCGACGAUGGCUGGCACGUUUACUUUGAACAAAUUAGAAUGCUUAAAGCAUGCUAAAAUUUCGCCAAAAUACUGUGUGCAUGGAAUAAUGAAACAAAACCUCGGUUCUAUUUUGUUGGUUUUCGAAACACCGAGGUGAGGUUUAAUAGGGGCAGAUGGGAGAAUUCGUAUUGCGAGGUUAGAGGAGAAAUUCUCGGUUCGUCGCAAGGCGGACAGAAGCGAAAGCAUUUGCUAAAAAUGUUUUCAUUAAUCUAGAAUGAAAGUCAGCAAUUCGAAGGCGAUUAGAAACCGCCCUAGUUCUGACCAUAAACGANUAUAUAUAUAUAUACAUAUUAAAAUAAAUUUUUGUUUUGUGUAUAUAAAUUUAUAAUAUUAUGUGGUAUGUGGAUAGUUGAUAUAACAUAGAGUGUUUCUGGUAUAAUUAAGAAAUUGUUUUAAAUAUAUUUAUCAACUAUUAAAUAAUAUUAAGAACACAACACAUUUUAUUAUAACUUGUUGUAUAAAAAAAACAUUUGUAAAAAAAUAUAAAUAUUUAUAGAGUGUUAUGAUUGUUUUAUUCUUAAAUUUCUCUUUUGAUAAUAUCUUAAGAAAAAAAAAAUAAGAAAAAACUAUAAUAAUUUUAUAUUAUGCGACCUCAGAGCAGAUGUGUCUACCCGCCUAAUUAAAGAAUAUUAUUAAGCGGAGGAAAAGAAAAUAACAAGGAUAAUCUUAGUAGCGACAAACGAACAGGGAAAAGCCCAGCACUAAAGCCCGUGGUCGGUAACAGCUACUAGGCAAUGUAGUGUUUGGAAGAGUUUGUUUAACCUGAGUAUUAUUAGCGCGUACAAGUCCUUCUUGAAGGGAGUCGCACGCUUAUAGGGAGUGCCAGGCAGUUAAACCUGAGAAUCUCGAAAGUUCGAAAGAAGAGAUUCAUUUGUUUUACCGUUAGUAAACAGUAUAGAUAGUAUUUGGGACGUAUAUGAUGUAUAAUAUUUUUUAAAUGUUAUUUUUAUUGGUACGCACUACUAUUUAUUGUAUAAAUUAUUAACGAAGGCAUGCACUUCUCUUCUUGUAGGACGUCGUGACCCGUUAAGUGUUUUGUAUAUAUUCCAAUUACGGGCCUAAUAUAGUAGAUUAA
This 2075-nucleotide ribosomal RNA is filed under the name Pogonus chalceus. Its description in RNAcentral is "bacterial SSU rRNA". The stretch from base 2 to 1344 matches the Rfam family "Eukaryotic small subunit ribosomal RNA", at positions 4 to 1116 of the family's 1831-position model. The record is from RNAcentral. Lineage: Eukaryota; Metazoa; Arthropoda; Insecta; Coleoptera; Carabidae.